This 1612-nucleotide long non-coding RNA is filed under the name Mus musculus (house mouse). RNAcentral's name for it is "predicted gene 3764, transcript variant 5 (Gm3764)". The record is from RNAcentral. Lineage: Eukaryota; Metazoa; Chordata; Mammalia; Rodentia; Muridae.
GCCAGAGCAGCGGCCAAGGCUGAGGAGAGAGCUGGGACUCGAGACCCUGCUCCACCCUGCUGGCUCUCGCUCGGCCCCAUUACCUGGCAAGCCCCGGCAUCCUUGACCCACGUCCGUGGCGCUGCCUGGGUAGGAACGCGCCUGAAGACCGCGCAGGACACUACCACUGGGCAUCCUGGGUUUGAUGCAGACAUCCUGCACUACAUUCCAGAUCUGAUGAGGCAUGGCUGCCCCAGGAUUACUGGGCUCGGACGGGAGCAGUGGUAGGAAGGAUCCUAUAUAAGUCAUGUGAGACAUAGAAUGUUCAGAUCAACUGAAGCUGAAACAAGCCUUUGGCAUCAUAUAUAACCCAGAAAGGGACAAAGCUGAUCCCAGAGGACUCAAGGCUAUGGGUGAUGUCGAAGGUGCGGAAGAAUCAAGUUGGAAAGACCAGCAGGAGACAGACAGAGUAAGGUUCCUUGAAUGCUUGGUUUAUGUGCCUGGCUGGAGGAGACACCCAUGGCCUUGCAGAGGGAGCGUUCUGGUGGGAAAGCAGACACAACCCACCCUAGGCCCGUGGUUUCCCUGCAAGAAGCCCAGUGGCUUUCUGGAGGACACUUUUCCUGGAGGAAGUGACUCAAGAGCAGCAUAAGCCAGGCUCUAUGGAAUGUUGGGUGAGCUGCUUGAGGAACUCCAAGGCCUGUCCCACAGUCUUCCAGCCUCCGACUCUCCGGCCCUCAGCGAGGAAGUCCCACUGGUUUUUUUGGUUGGUUUUUUUUUUUUUUUUUAAGGUUUUUUGGUUUUUUUUUUUUUUUCUCAUUCCUGUCUUGGGAGCUUUCCCCAACCAGGAGAGUGAAGAUGGGCGGAGCUGUCACACCAACUGUUAGCCUGCCUUGGCUGAGAGGAGAGGAGGCGAGGAGGGAGCGACCACCCAGCUUUAGUCGUUUUAAAACAGCUCCUGACCCUAGAAGAAGGGAAAUGGAGAUGAAGACCCAAUUGACUUGGCUUCCCUCCCUCCCAGUGCUGAUUUCCUGUGGACCAGAUUCCAGCACAGUGGAGGGCCAGAGCUCAGGGAACAGACCCAGCAGCACAGCAAGUCUCCAAGGAAAGCUCUAGCAGUCUCCAGGGGCUGAAGGCAGGACUGGGGAAGCGGCUAGCCAGGCUGCAGAAGGCAAAUGCUCCCAGACGGCUGUCCAGCACGCAUCCGCCUUCCUAGCCAAGUUUCCUGGGCUCCUGCCACAGAUCUAAGCCUCAUCCUGACAUCCUGCCCUCUGUGCUCUGGGAUGGCCCAGGGGAGAUGCUUAGCCUUGGCUCCUUGUCUGCUGGUGGAGGGGACACACACCCUUUCUGGACCACAGACCAAAAAGAAGACCUGACGUCAUCCUGAGCACCCCCGCCAUGCAGAGUGUGUUCGCAGACUGCCAACGGGCUGGCUCCGGCCAGCAGAAGUGAACAGAGGUGGAGGUUCAGCCUGACAGCUUCUCCCCAAAGCCAUGGAGAGAAAACCUUACCACCCCCACCGCCCAGCUACUUCCAGCAAGUUGUCCAGCCUGACCCCUCUAUUUCCCCUGUUGUCUCUUAUCUGGGUCCCUGAGACCCACCCCAUCUCCAAUAAAGAACAUUGCAUACUGUG